Long non-coding RNA from Colius striatus (speckled mousebird), 1873 nucleotides. RefSeq lists it as uncharacterized. The record is from RefSeq and is a predicted model, not a curated record. NCBI's taxonomy places the organism in Eukaryota, Metazoa, Chordata, Aves, Coliiformes, Coliidae. The transcript is spliced from 5 exons.
GAAAAGCGCGGUCACGCGGCGGAGGCAGCGCCGCCACCGCGGCAGGUGCGUUGCCCGUUCCCCGCAGCCGGCGUGCGGAGAGUGGAAGUCGGCAGCCCUCCGGCUGCCCCAGCCCUACAGCCGCGCCUCGUGGCUCAUGGAUUGUAUGUGAAGCCCCACCGCAUUUCAGUAUCACAUCUGCGCGUUACCCCGGAGAGGCCAAAGAGCGAACUCCUGGCGCGGGUGUCACCGUCCUCCAAACCGCAGGGACGGUUUCGUUUCAGAAAUAGAGAAAUAUGCAAAACGUGGGAAGGAUAGUAGUGCUUGGAGCCACGGGAACACUGCUUGAAAACGUGGUCACUACUUUAUGUGCGGGGUUCUGAGCAGCGCUUGAUACGAUUCAGCGGAGUAAGAUGCAGUCAGUCUUACUCCUACCCUAAAGUCUGUCAUCACAUGAAGCAGAGUGUGGACGCUGAGGGAACAAAAAGAGCCACGUUGAAGGCACUAUGACCACCCUUACUGAGGCUCUGGAACAUGGGGAGAGGAAGGCUGCAAGUGUACAGAAGUAGUUCUGGAACACAAACCUGCAUGACAAGUAAGAUAAUUCCAAUUGCAAUGGAAUGCAAUUGUCCACAGACUGCAGCUGCUGCCUCCACGGAUUUAACAAGGAAAUCAGAAGUCAGCACAGCACCAGUACAUCACUUGAGAGAUGGAUUUCACUUAAAUUAUAUCUUUCUGCCCUGACCACUACAUAAUUUCUGUACUAUAAUUACAUACAAAAUAAAAAAGUGGCUUGCACAAGGUUGCAUAACUCUUUAUCUGUUCCAGAGCCACGUGCAGCCUUGUAGGAAACAGAUUUCACAAGUUCACAACGUACUUGUAAAUCUGCAGAAAGAUGUCUGGAGAGAGAAGAAAAAAAACCCAAACCCACAUCAAAAAACCAAAACAAACACAACUAUUUUUUCUCACUUUUUCUGGUAAACCUAAAGCUUUAAAAUACAGAAAUAAACAGAUUUAAUGUGAAAUAUGCCUGCAGUCUGAUACUAGGCAUGGAUCCUUGUCUCACAAAUCUCGUCUGGAACAGGAAAAAAUUCCUGUUUAGUCUGAACAUGCUUCAGACCAGACAGGCUAUGCUACCAAGUCUAUUAUCUGUGUGGAUUUCAACAUACCGAGUGCUGGGAUAUUGUUUUCAGCCUCAUGCUCCUUGACUGGAUUUACAAGUUUAGAAUUCUGUUUGAAUAUCUGUAACCUAUACACAAAAUUGGUAACUGAAAUAAUUUCAACAGUUCAGAAUCUACCUCCAAGUAGUGGCAUUUAGAUAACUAUCCUGCACAGACAAGAAGGGUGUCUUUCUGUCCCAAGGAAUAGCUCUCAUGCUUCAGUCAAAACACAUUUGGUAUUUUAUUAACUCGAUUGCUGUAUUUUUAUUUGGUUUGCCUGCUUUAAUGGUGACAGCUCAUUGAAGGCUGUGGUCAUGGCUGCUUUUUGAGAGACCCUUAAUGUAUGACCCAGAUCUGUAAUACUAAUAUUACUCUAAUUCAACUUUUCAGGAUAUAACUGUGAGAACAGAAAGCCUCAGUAAUUGUUAGUAGUCCAGAUGCAGCCUCAAGACAACGGCUAGAAAGAAUUGAAAACAGUAAUGAGGAAACAUUCUUAACAAUGAAACAAAAGUGCUUCAAAACAACAAAAUACAGGAAUUAACCCCAUCUCAGACUGGAGUAGUCAAAUAUAUUUAAUGGGGGUGGGGUAUAAAGUUUUGUUUCCACCUUUGGUUCUUAUCACAUCCAGAUUUAUGAAAAAUACUGACUAGCCCUUCACAUGAAUAAAAAUUUGAAUCAUGUGGAAAAAAGUUUUUGUAUUUCCAGUGCUUUUAAUAGGUGGGUAUUACAUAAAG